UGGGGAAUAUUGGACAAUGGGGGAAACCCUGAUCCAGCGACGCCGCGUGUGUGAAGAAGGCCUGCGGGUUGUAAAGCACUUUCGGUGGGAACGAAAUAUGCCGGGCUAAUACCCCGGUAGGCUGACGUUACUCAAUGAAGAAGCACCGGCUAACUCUGUGCCAGCAGCCGCGGUAAUACAGAGGGUGCGAGCGUUAAUCGGAAUUACUGGGCGUAAAGCGCACGUAGGUGGCGACGUAAGUCGGGUGUGAAAGCCCCGGGCUCAACCUGGGAACCGCAUUCGAGACUGUGUUGCUGGAGUACGGAAGAGGAGGGCGGAAUUCCCGGUGUAGCGGUGAAAUGCGUAGAUAUGCGGAGGAACACCGAUGGCGAAGGCAGCCUCCUGGGAUAACACUGACGCUCAUGCACGAAAGCGUGGGGAGCAAACAGGAUUAGAUACCCACGUAGUCCCUGAGCGGGCUGGG
Molecule: ribosomal RNA, 463 nt
Filed under: uncultured bacterium
Lineage: Bacteria
Description: bacterial SSU rRNA
Rfam family: Bacterial small subunit ribosomal RNA
Source: RNAcentral